UGAGAUUGUGCAUCCUGGUAUUUGUCUUCUACUGAAUCUUGUUGUUCGUCGUAAUUGGAGUUAGAAUCAAUGAAUUCAAGACUUUCACGGCUCUGAGAUGUACACAUCAGAUUCAGAUCAAAUGAAAUCGAGAUGGGAUUGAUAUUUUUGGUGUUUUGGGUGCGCCUUCACUUCAAGAUGACUUUUACUUAAUCUUGUGGAUUGGUCCUCACAAAAUACUCUAGCAGUGGGGCUUGGCACUUGUGUUUAUCUAUGGAGUAUGGAGUGCUUCAAAUAGCAAAGUGACUAAGCUUUGUCACCAAACUAAGCUCUUAUAUGUGUAUAAACAUGCAGGUCUGUAACCUUCCUUGAAGUAAAAAUGUAAAUGAGCUAAUAAGUACUCAUGGUUACUCACAAAAUCAUCA
Molecule: long non-coding RNA, 404 nt
Organism: Vicia villosa (hairy vetch)
Lineage: Eukaryota; Viridiplantae; Streptophyta; Magnoliopsida; Fabales; Fabaceae
Exons: 3
Source: RefSeq, a predicted model, not a curated record